CCUCCUUUCUCCAUGGCUUGUACUGAGUUUCUGAAGAGCACAACCAAGGCAGGAGUGGCCAGGCAUGCCAUUGGCUGAGGGCAGGACUGUCUUCCCAGCACUUCAGCACUGGGUACUCCCCGAAGAAAGCAGGAGCCUUUGCAGCCGCCUCUUCCAGCCGCUGGGGGUGGACGCCUGGUCAAGGGGACCCAAGGGCAGCGUCAGGGCUGCUGAGUCACCUGCCCAGUAAGAACAGGAGCUACACAGGAAGACAUCCUAGAAACAUGAUUUGCUGCUGCUGCUGCUGCUGCUGCUGCUGCUGCUGCUGCUAUCAUCAUUCUCCUUCUCCUCCUCCUCUCCCUCCUCCUCCUCUUCCUCCUCCCCUUCCUCUUCCUUCUUCCUCCUCCUUCUCUUCCUCCUCCUCUUCUCCUCCUCCUCCUUCUCUUUAAGUUAAGAGGAACAAGGAUCCAGAGAAGAUUCAUGAGGUAAAAGAUGGCAUCAGAGCCCCCUGGAUCAGCUCUGCACUGCUGAGGCCUGCUCAAGCCUGAGGACCUCCAGACUUGCACUGAAAACUCCCCCUUAGCUAAAGACCAGAAUGCCAGCUGAGGGCUUCGGGGAGCCCUGCACAAACAACUUUGCGCCCACUCACAUCAACCCUCUCCCCGACUUCUGCUUUGCCUACAUUUGAGGAGAAGACAAGCUUGGGAGACCAGGUGAUCUGCCCAACAGACCUGUGUGGCCUGACUCAAAGCCACCAAGCCACAGAACUGCUCUGCAGUGCCACCUGUGGGCCUAGCAGUCACCUGGCACCAGUAGGUGACGUUGUCCCACUGUGCAGCCAGCCUUAUCCCAAAUGACACUGAGUUUUCCCUUUCUCGUAGCAAAACAACAACAACAACAACAACAAAUGUUCUUUUCAGUACUAAGUCUAAGUUAAAAUUGAGCUGACUGAAUAAAAAUGUGAUAAGAAACAGUGA
Molecule: long non-coding RNA, 956 nt
Organism: Peromyscus californicus insignis
Lineage: Eukaryota; Metazoa; Chordata; Mammalia; Rodentia; Cricetidae
Exons: 2
Source: RefSeq, a predicted model, not a curated record